RNAcentral lists this ribosomal RNA (278 nucleotides) under uncultured bacterium. RNAcentral's name for it is "partial 16S ribosomal RNA". It matches the Rfam family "Bacterial small subunit ribosomal RNA", at positions 28 to 307 of the family's 1533-position model. The record is from RNAcentral.
GACGAACGCUGGCGGCGUGCUUAACACAUGCAAGUCGAGCGGUAAGGCCCUUUCGGGGGUACACGAGCGGCGAACGGGUGAGUAACACGUGGGUGACCUGCCCUUAGCUCUGGGAUAAGCCUGGGAAACUGGGUCUAAUACCGGAUAUGACUCCAUAAACGCAUGUUGUGGGGUGGAAAGCCUUGUGCGGCUAGGGAUGGGCCCGCGGCCUAUCAGCUUGUUGGUGGGGUGAUGGCCACCAAGGCGACGACGGGUAGCCGGCCUGAGAGGGCGACCGC